ACGAUGAAGACCGGUGCUUGCACUGGUUGGAUUAGUGGCGAACGGGUGAGUAAUACGUGAGUAACCUGCCUUUGACUCUGGGAUAAGCCUUGGAAACGAGGUCUAAUACCGGAUAUGACACAGUUUCGCAUGAAAUCUGUGUGGAAAGGGUUUGUACUGGUUUUAGAUGGGCUCACGGCCUAUCAGCUUGUUGGUGAGGUAAUGGCUCACCAAGGCGACGACGGGUAGCCGGCCUGAGAGGGUGACCGGCCACACUGGGACUGAGACACGGCCCAGACUCCUACGGGAGGCAGCAGUGGGGAAUAUUGCACAAUGGGCGCAAGCCUGAUGCAGCGACGCCGCGUGAGGGAUGACGGCCUUCGGGUUGUAAACCUCUUUCAGCAGGGGAGAAGCGAAAGUGACGGUACCUGCAGAAGAAGCGCCGGCUAACUACGUGCCAGCAGCCGCGGUAAUACGUAGGGCGCGAGCGUUGUCCGGAAUUAUUGGGCGUAAAGAGCUUGUAGGCGGUUUGUCGCGUCUGCUGUGAAAGCCCGGGGCUUAACUCCGGGUUUGCAGUGGGUACGGGCUAACUAGAGUGCAGUAGGGGAGACUGGAAUUCCUGGUGUAGCGGUGGAAUGCGCAGAUAUCAGGAGGAACACCGAUGGCGAAGGCAGGUCUCUGGGCUGUAACUGACGCUGAGAAGCGAAAGCAUGGGGAGCGAACAGGAUUAGAUACCCUGGUAGUCCAUGCCGUAAACGUUGGGCACUAGGUGUGGGGGACAUUCCACGUUUUCCGCGCCGUAGCUACGCAUUAAGUGCCCCGCCUGGGGAGUAC
RNAcentral lists this ribosomal RNA (813 nucleotides) under Rothia terrae. RNAcentral's name for it is "bacterial SSU rRNA". It matches the Rfam family "Bacterial small subunit ribosomal RNA", at positions 66 to 883 of the family's 1533-position model. Lineage: Bacteria; Bacillati; Actinomycetota; Actinomycetes; Micrococcales; Micrococcaceae. The record is from RNAcentral.